GGGAAUAUUGGACAAUGGGCGAAAGCCUGAUCCAGCAAUGCCGCGUGAGUGAUGAAGGCCCUAGGGUUGUAAAGCUCUUUUACCCGGGAUGAUAAUGACAGUACCGGGAGAAUAAGCCCCGGCUAACUCCGUGCCAGCAGCCGCGGUAAUACGGAGGGGGCUAGCGUUGUUCGGAAUCACUGGGCGUAAAGCGCACGUAGGCGGCUUUGCAAGUCAGAGGUGAAAGCCCGGGGCUCAACCCCGGAAUAGCCUUUGAGACUGCAUCGCUUGAACGUCGGAGAGGUGAGUGGAAUUCCGAGUGUAGAGGUGAAAUUCGUAGAUAUUCGGAAGAACACCAGUGGCGAAGGCGGCUCACUGGACGACUGUUGACGCUGAGGUGCGAAAGCGUGGGGAGCAAAC
RNAcentral lists this ribosomal RNA (399 nucleotides) under uncultured bacterium. Its description in RNAcentral is "bacterial SSU rRNA". It matches the Rfam family "Bacterial small subunit ribosomal RNA", at positions 357 to 773 of the family's 1533-position model. The record is from RNAcentral.